UGAGGAUCAAUAAAUGACUAAAAAAUCCUGUCUUUCAGUCGACCAUCUGUGCAGGGAGAGAACCACAGUGGGGUGCAGCAAUGUGUGCAGAAAGUCAGAGAGAGAAGGAGCGGUGAGAACACUGAACUCGAGAACAGCGCUGGCCUUUAGACAACAGCAUUCCGUGUCGACAGCACCCACGGGGGAUAUGCUGACUGCCUGCUCCUCACAAGAUUAUGACAAAUCAUAGCAGUUUAAAUUCACAGACUUUCUUCUUCCCUACACUUUCCUGCUUCUCUAAACUCAAAAAUACAAUAUAUGAGUUCAACAGCAGACUAGAGGAAGCAGAAGAAAAGAUCCAUGAACUCAAAGACAGGACACGGGAACCCAUCCAUCCAGAGCAGCAAAAAGAAAAGAAGAAUGAAACAGAGUGAAGAUAGCUUAAGGAACUUACAGGACAACAUCAAGCAGAGCAAUAUUUGCAUUCUAGGGGUCUUAGAGGAGAAU
Molecule: long non-coding RNA, 486 nt
Filed under: Equus caballus (horse)
Lineage: Eukaryota; Metazoa; Chordata; Mammalia; Perissodactyla; Equidae
Description: lncRNA (ENSECAG00000057623.1)
Source: RNAcentral